RNAcentral lists this microRNA (21 nucleotides) under Vitis vinifera (wine grape). Its description in RNAcentral is "miRNA s935122_1". Lineage: Eukaryota; Viridiplantae; Streptophyta; Magnoliopsida; Vitales; Vitaceae. The record is from RNAcentral.
GACCAGUGAGAUAGUCCUCUA